Molecule: transfer RNA, 69 nt
Filed under: Microhyla beilunensis
Lineage: Eukaryota; Metazoa; Chordata; Amphibia; Anura; Microhylidae
Description: tRNA-Pro
Rfam family: tRNA
About the family: Transfer RNA (tRNA) molecules are approximately 80 nucleotides in length. Their secondary structure includes four short double-helical elements and three loops (D, anti-codon, and T loops). Further hydrogen bonds mediate the characteristic L-shaped molecular structure. tRNAs have two regions of fundamental functional importance: the anti-codon, which is responsible for specific mRNA codon recognition, and the 3' end, to which the tRNAs corresponding amino acid is attached (by aminoacyl-tRNA synthetases). tRNAs cope with the degeneracy of the genetic code in two manners: having more than one tRNA (with a specific anti-codon) for a particular amino acid; and 'wobble' base-pairing, i.e. permitting non-standard base-pairing at the 3rd anti-codon position.
Source: RNAcentral
CAGGACAUAGUUUAAUUAGAAUGUUGGCUUUGGGGGCCAGGGGUGAAGGUUGAAUUCCUUUUGUCUUGA